AAGGGGCGAAACGAGUGAAUCAAUGAAAAAAAGACCCUUCAUACGUCACCCAAAUAAGGCAUGAGAGAGAAGGUUCACUUUUCGCAGCGCCGUUGCAGAAAUACC
This is a long non-coding RNA of Bradysia coprophila, 105 nucleotides long. The record is from RefSeq and is a predicted model, not a curated record. NCBI's taxonomy places the organism in Eukaryota, Metazoa, Arthropoda, Insecta, Diptera, Sciaridae.